Long non-coding RNA from Haemorhous mexicanus (house finch), 3174 nucleotides. RefSeq lists it as uncharacterized. The record is from RefSeq and is a predicted model, not a curated record. The transcript is spliced from 2 exons. NCBI's taxonomy places the organism in Eukaryota, Metazoa, Chordata, Aves, Passeriformes, Fringillidae.
ACAAACUUUGCAAAGCCAAGAUUUCGGCACCAACUCCAGCUGGACAUGCGUGUGCCCCCAGCCCCACUCUGGGGCCGUUCCACAGCCGUGUGCCAGACCCUGAGGCACUCAGCAGCAGGAUCCAGACUUUCAGGUUCAUCACUGGACCCCCAUGACGGACCUGGUGGAGUGAGGGAUCCCUGCACAGCCCAGGAGGGCAGAGGGGUGAGGCACGAGCACCCGAGGGCUUUCACACGCCUUCACCCACAGCAGGUGGAGCGCGUUCGUCACUGCGGGCCCAACCAAGGAGGGAUACAAAGUUCAGCUGCACAGAACAGCAUCCCUGCAUCAAGCAGCUCAGAGCACUGAGAUCAAGAUUUUGGCCCAGAAGACAGGUAACCCUGGCUCCCCUGCCUUCAUCCUCAAUCCAGUCUCCUCCUGCCCCAUCAGGACUGCAGGGCAGGAGGAACAGGCAAGGAGGAGUUUGACCUUCACUGCUCCUUCCUUGAGGUCAUUGUUUUGAGCUUGUAGCUCAGAAUGGAUAAUUUUUAUGUGCUCAGAAUCUGCUGUGGACUUCAUUAAUCCAGAAAAGGCUAAAUGGGCACAGAACCUUUCCACUUGCUUGCCUUAACUGUACACUGAAAUCCCAAAUUCUGGUGUGCUGAGGGGCUGGUGGUUGCUUUGCUUUCAUCCUGCCUGUGUUUGGCCUUCAAAUGGGCAAAUGCAACUCUGAUAACAGAGCAGAGGAAAGCUCAGAGAGGCCACAGGAGCAUUGUGCCUCUUCGGAAGGAGACAGCAGAUAAACAGGAUUAAGGAAUUUUGCAUAGUUCAACCUGCCAGGUCCUGUGAAGAGGAAAUGUAGGCAGUGCCUGCAGCCCUGAUUCAGAGGAGAAGCCUUUGAAAUGCUUGCCAGGCAAAAUGUGUUAAGAUACAGUUUUCCUCUGUAGCAGGGUGCAGUGCAGGGAACAGCCCUCCCUCUGUGGAGCCCACCCCACGCCAGGCACAGUCUGUGGCGCUUUUACAGAUUUCAAGAGCCCUGGGAGCCAAGUAAAGCUGUCCUGAUUCUGAGUCACAGCCUGGUGCUGGUGGUGGAAUUCAAACAGGGAGAUCCCCUGCAAGAUGUUCUGCUCUGGACCAGACCAAAAAAAUUCACCAAGAAUUUGUUUCCCAGGAAGACCUUAAUUUUUUUCAUCUCUUUUGUUUUUUAUGGUUGUUGUUGUUGAAAAGUGCUGAAAACUAAAAUAUUUAGAAUGGGGCUGGUUGUAUUUGGGGUUUUCUUUAGGGGAAGGGGCUGGGUCUGGGGUUAUGUCUAGAGAAAGUGAUUGGAUUUCCAGGUGAAACUGGCAUGUUCUGACACCUGUUCUCACAGCAGCAGGUGUAUCUUGCAGUGGUUUGGGCUAUGCCCUGUGGGAAUGGAGCAUUAGAGAAUCUGCCCUCAGCAGUCUUUCCCCCCAGGAGGAGAGGAUACACCUGUAAUCCACCACUGCUCUGGGACAAGAGAAGCUGCCAGUGUCCCUCUCCAAAACCAGAGCCCUUCAUAUUCUCUCCUCACUCCUUUGGCCACAGCACCAAAGGAUGAACACUGAUUUUUGUGAGCUCUCUGUAAGCCAGCACACAGUGAACCCUGAGGGGACUCUGCUUAUCAAACUCAAGGGAAAGAUAUUGUGAGAAAGGACAGGAGCACUGCAAAAUAAAGUUCCUGCUGUGUGAUCAGCUCCAUGGAGUGCCAUCCCAGCCUGUAUAGUGUCACUGGACUGCCAUGUACUUUACCAUUGGUGGCUCUGCCUUUUUGCCCCUCAGGUUUGGCUGGGGAUGCAGCACAGAGCCAGGUUUGGCCACUUCAGUGAAGCUGGGGAAAGAGGGCAGAAGAAAAUCAAGGCAGAAACCAGCACAGCCUAAGCAUUCCCUGUGGCACAAGGACAAGAGCAGCAUCCAUCAUCCCUCUGGGGUGGGACUGAGGCAACUGAUGCAAAGAGGUGUGGUGGAAGGUUUUGGAGAUUUCCUGAGUGCCCAGGGUGCUCAUCGAGAAUUUGGCUGUCUCUACAAGCAAGGGGAGUGGGGCAGCCCUCAGGUAGCUGCCAGAGAGGCAAAGUGAGGCUGGUGAUACUCAAUGAAAGCUCCAGAUUGGGUAACCCAGUCCCAUUUUUGCAAGUCUUCACAUCUGGAGUAUUAUAUUUCUAACCAAUUCCAUCUGAAAUGAAGAAAAAUCUAAGCUUUUAUCUUUUUUCUAUUUUAUUUUUAGGGUUUGUUUAAUUAUUUAUUUGCAGAUAGUAACGCAAAAAAGUUUCUUCAAAGCUGGUCUGCACAAUGUUCUGUUAAAACUCCCACACAAGGGGCACCCACCACUAGUGAAUUAGAAGGAACUGAGUGAGGAGUCAGAUCUGGUUUCCCUGCAUCUAAUCGAAAUUUUCUGUCUUUCACAUCAUAUCAUACUUGUUCUACCCCUCAGGGUACUCCUGUCCUUGGAUGAGGUUUUAGAGUGGCUGCUAAAUCCUGUUGGAAUGGAGUUCCAGGCAGCCUAGACGUCUGAAAGCUUGGCUGCACAGAAUGCAGGACAGGACUGUUGGGAUGGGGAGAAGCUGCAUCUCCAGAUGAGGUCUCAGCUGUGCUGUGCAGGUUUCCAGAGCAGUCCACCCCUCCCCUGGGCUCGGGAGAUGUGGGAAAUCUGCUUUGCUGGCCCAUUCCACAGAGCCCUGUGUCCAGUUUCACUGUCCAGCCAUUCCAGACCUGCUGGCUGUGAGGAGCCUGCAAGAGCAAUGCCAAAUGGGCAAGAGAAGAUGUAAGCAUGGAAGAUUUGUCAAAGAAAACUUUUAAAAAAUGUCAUAUGUCCCACAGCAGUCCAAAGUAAUAGUUCAGCUGCUAAAAAGGUGGAAUUAAAUAGGUCAGGCUGUAGAGCUGUGCCACUCUCUGCCAGCUAAAGGAACUAACUUCUCAUCUGUUAGAUUGUUUCAUCUUUUGCUGCUCCAAGAAUCCAUCUCUCUGCUAGUAAUGAUGUCAAAUAAAUCUUCGCUAAAAUGUAAAAAUGUUUAUGAUUAUACUUACUGACCUGUUCCUUUAUUAAAUGAGGACAAUAGGAUGAUGCCUUGAUAUUUACUAAUGGGUUACUCCCAUCUAACCUUUUCUUGUUCAUCUAGAUCAUCUGUUUUCAUUUCACCAUUCAAUGGCUGCCAAUAAAAUUAAGUCAAUUAAAUUAAA